UACGAAGGGUGCUAGCGUUGUUCGGAAUUACUGGGCGUAAAGCGCGCGUAGGCGGCUAUUCAAGUCAGAGGUGAAAUCCCUGGGCUCAACCCAGGAAUUGCCUUUGAAACUGUAUAGCUUGAGUGUCGGAGGGGAUAGCGGAAUUGCUAAUGUAGAGGUGAAAUUCGUAGAUAUUAGCAGGAACACCGGUGGCGAAGGCGGCUAUCUGGACGACAACUGACGCUGAGGCGCGAAAGCGCGGGGAUCAAACAGG
Molecule: ribosomal RNA, 253 nt
Filed under: uncultured bacterium
Lineage: Bacteria
Description: partial 16S ribosomal RNA
Rfam family: Bacterial small subunit ribosomal RNA
Source: RNAcentral